RNAcentral lists this ribosomal RNA (1475 nucleotides) under Candidatus Pelagibacter sp. Its description in RNAcentral is "bacterial SSU rRNA". It matches the Rfam family "Bacterial small subunit ribosomal RNA". Lineage: Bacteria; Pseudomonadati; Pseudomonadota; Alphaproteobacteria; Candidatus Pelagibacterales; Candidatus Pelagibacteraceae. The record is from RNAcentral.
UAACUUGAGAGUUUGAUCAUGGCUCAGAACGUACGCUGGCGGCACGCCUAACACAUGCAAGUCGAACGAAGUAGCAAUACUUAGUGGCAGACGGGUGAGUAACAUGUAGGUAUCUACCCUUUGGCCUGGAAUAACACGAGGAAACUUGUGCUAAUACCGGAUAAGUCUUUACAGAGAAAGCUUUAUGCACCAUUGGAUGAGCCUGCACUUGAUUAGUUUGUUGGUGGGGUAAUGGCCUACCAAGACUAUGAUCAAUAGCUGAUUUGAGAGGAUGAUCAGCCACAUUGGGACUGAGACACGGCCCAAACUCCUACGGGAGGCAGCAGUGGGGAAUCUUGCACAAUGGAGGAAACUCUGAUGCAGCGAUGCCGCGUGAGUGAAGAAGGCCUUUGGGUUGUAAAGCUCUUUCGUCGGGGAAGAAAAUGACUGUACCCGAAUAAGAAGGUCCGGCUAACUUCGUGCCAGCAGCCGCGGUAAUACGAAGGGACCUAGCGUAGUUCGGAAUUACUGGGCUUAAAGAGUUCGUAGGUGGUUGAAAAAGUUGGUGGUGAAAUCCCAGAGCUUAACUCUGGAACUGCCAUCAAAACUUUUCAGCUAGAGUAUGAUAGAGGAAAGCAGAAUUUCUAGUGUAGAGGUGAAAUUCGUAGAUAUUAGAAAGAAUACCAAUUGCGAAGGCAGCUUUCUGGAUCAUUACUGACACUGAGGAACGAAAGCAUGGGUAGCGAAGAGGAUUAGAUACCCUCGUAGUCCAUGCCGUAAACGAUGUGUGUUAGACGUUGGAAAUUUAUUUUCAGUGUCGCAGCGAAAGCGAUAAACACACCGCCUGGGGAGUACGACCGCAAGGUUAAAACUCAAAUGAAUUGACGGGGACCCGCACAAGUAGUGGAGCAUGUGGUUUAAUUCGAAGAUACGCGCAGAACCUUACCAACACUUGACAUGUUCGUCGCGACUCUAAGAGAUUAGAGUUUUCGGUUCGGCCGGACGAAACACAGGUGCUGCAUGGCUGUCGUCAGCUCGUGUCGUGAGAUGUUGGGUUAAGUCCCGCAACGAGCGCAACCCUCACUUUUAGUUGCCAUCAUUAAGUUGGGCACUCUGAAAGAACUGCCAGUGAUAAGCUGGAGGAAGGUGGGGAUGACGUCAAGUCCUCAUGGCCCUUACGUGUUGGGCUACACACGUGCUACAAUGGUAUCUACAACAGGAAGCAAAACGGCAACGUUAAGCAAAUCCCGAAAAGAUACCUCAGUUCGGAUUGCACUCUGCAACUCGAGUGCAUGAAGCUGGAAUUACUAGUAAUCGUGGAUCAGCGUGCCACGGUGAAUGCGUUCCCGGGUCUUGUACACACCGCCCGUCACACCAUGGGAGUUGGUUCUACCUUAAGGCAAGGUUUUAAACCCUUGACCACGGUAUAGUCAGCGACUGGGGUGAAGUCGUAACAAGGUAGCCGUAGGGGAACCUGCGGCUGGAUUACCUCCUUU